UACGUAGGGUCCAAGCGUUAUCCGGAAUCACUGGGCGUAAAGCGUACGUAGGCGGAUAUUUAAGUGCAACGUGAAAUCCUGUGGCUCAACCACAUGGACUGUGUCGCAUACUGGAUAUCUCGAGGAUGGCAGAGGCAAGUGGAAUUACCGGUGUAGCAGUGAAAUGCGUAGAUAUCGGUAGGAACACCAAUGGCGAAGGCAGCUUGCUGGGCCAUUUCUGACGCUAAGGUACGAAAGCGUGGGGAGCGAACAGG
Molecule: ribosomal RNA, 254 nt
Filed under: uncultured bacterium
Lineage: Bacteria
Description: partial 16S ribosomal RNA
Rfam family: Bacterial small subunit ribosomal RNA
Source: RNAcentral